GCCCUGGACGACGAGGAGCUCAACGCCUACAUCAUCGCUGGCCUCGAAUCCGACUUUGAGCCAGUGGUGUCCUCCAUCGUCGGCAAUACGGAGCCGGUUCCUGUCUCGGAGGUGUACACACAACUCCUAAGCUUCGAGA
This 139-nucleotide small nucleolar RNA is filed under the name Leersia perrieri. RNAcentral's name for it is "snoRNA snoZ247". It matches the Rfam family "Small nucleolar RNA Z247". From Rfam's summary of the family: Z247 is a member of the C/D class of snoRNA which contain the C (UGAUGA) and D (CUGA) box motifs. Most of the members of the box C/D family function in directing site-specific 2'-O-methylation of substrate RNAs. The record is from Rfam by way of RNAcentral. Lineage: Eukaryota; Viridiplantae; Streptophyta; Magnoliopsida; Poales; Poaceae.